RNAcentral lists this ribosomal RNA (456 nucleotides) under uncultured bacterium. RNAcentral describes it as "bacterial SSU rRNA". It matches the Rfam family "Bacterial small subunit ribosomal RNA", at positions 340 to 786 of the family's 1533-position model. The record is from RNAcentral.
UACGGAAGGCAGCAGUGGGGAAUAUUGCACAAUGGGCGCAAGCCUGAUGCAGCCAUGCCGCGUGUAUGAAGAAGGCCUUCGGGUUGUAAAGUACUUUCAGUCGUGAGGAAGGUGUUAAGGUUAAUAACCUUAGCAAUUGACGUUAGCGACAGAAGAAGCACCGGCUAACUCCGUGCCAGCAGCCGCGGUAAUACGGAGGGUGCGAGCGUUAAUCGGAAUUACUGGGCGUAAAGGGCACGCAGGCGGUUAAUUAAGUUGGAUGUGAAAUCCCCGGGCUUAACCUGGGAAUGGCAUUCAAGACUGGUUAGCUAGAGUCUUGUAGAGGGGGUAGAAUUCCAUGUGUAGCGGUGAAAUGCGUAGAGAUGUGGAGGAUACCGGUGGCGAAGGCGGCCCCUGGACAAAGGACUGACGCUCAUGUGCGAAAGCGUGGGGAGCGAAACGAGGGAUUUAGAUACC